Molecule: long non-coding RNA, 3735 nt
Filed under: Canis lupus familiaris (dog)
Lineage: Eukaryota; Metazoa; Chordata; Mammalia; Carnivora; Canidae
Description: lncRNA (ENSCAFG00000050490.1)
Source: RNAcentral
UUUAUUUAUUUAUUUAUUUAUUUAUUUAUUUAUUUGAGAGAGAAAGAGAGAGAGAGCACAUAAGCAAACAUGGGGAGGGGAAGCGGGGGAAGGAGAAGGAGAGGGAAAGAGAAUCCCAGAUAGACCCUGUGCUGAGUGUGGGGCCCCAUGCGAGUCUUGAUCCCACAAUCCUGAGACCCUGACCUGAGCCAAAACCAAGAAUUGAAUGCACAACCAACUCAGCUACCAAGGCACCCUAUUGACCAUCUUUUUAAAUGGGUAUAGAAUAAUCUGAAGUGUAGUUGUUUUGUAGUUUAUUUGACCACUUUGCUUGGAACAAUAAUCAGAUUUUUCCCCUGACUUUUGCCUGUCAUAAGCCAUACUUCAAUGUUGAACAUUCAUUGUUGUACAGAUGUGCAAGCAUUUAAGUAGGACACAUCCUUAGGCACAGAUGCUAGUCAAAGAGCAUACAUGCUUAAAAUGUUAAUACAUGCCACUAUAUUGCUUUCCCUGAAAGCUUUGCCAAUUAUUUAUACUCUCACCAAUAAUUUAUCAGGAUCCUAGAGCAAGGCAUUUCCACUCUAAAGAAGAAGAUGAUUAAUUAUCUCAUCAUAAAUUGUGACCAGAUAAAUUCAGUGAUUGUGUAUAUAUUUAUGUAUGUAAUAUGAUAAGUUAGCAAAGAUAUUGGCCCCUUUAUAUCAGACUCAUAUUAAAAGUCUCCUUACUCAGGGGCACCUGGGUGGCUCAGUUGGUUAAGCAUCUGCCUUUGGCUCAGGUCAUGAUGUCAGCGUCCUGGGAUCCAGCCCUGAGUCCAGUUCUCUGCUCAACAGGGAGUCUUCUUCGCCUUCUCCCUCUGCCCCUCCCCAAAUUUGUGCUUGCGCAUGCACACACAUGCUCUCCCUGUCUCUCUUUCUCUCUCAAAUAAAUAAAAUCUUUAAAAGUCUCCUUACAUAAAUUAAUGUUUCUGAAUCAGUGGUUAUGUCUAAUUAAGAACACAAAUUCAUAGAGACAGAGGGAGUGGACAUGGGCAAACACUUACUAUUCAUCAAGAUAUGAAUAUCAGCACCUAAUUCUUAAACAAAAUUUUAAAAGAAUAUACUCUAAAAGUAUUGCAUGAUUAAAAUAAAGGAUGGAAAGGACUUCUAUAUUGUUUAAUCAAAAUGUAAAUUUAAUCAGUGUUAUGGCUUGCGUUCUAUCACUCCAUUCAGAGGAGCAAGAGCAAUUAAAAUAUUACAUUAGCUCAACACUUAUGAAUUUGGGCAAUAAGCGUGUACUAAAAAAGGACCCUAGAGAAACAUGUAAGCUUAGAAUUAUCUUUUUAUUCAACAUGUGCUCUGUUAUCUUGGGAACUCUAGAAUCAGUGGCAAAACUCUCACAGCUAGGCUAACUACUUUCAUAAGACCUGCUUUAUUUAAAAAUAAAUCCAGAGCAGAUGCCAGAACUGGACCUGGUGACAAAUAUUUAUCCUUUUCAUGGUGUUUCUUUCCUGUGGCAUUGCACAGUUGGUUCCUGAUCUCCAUUUUGAUGGUACCAAAGGGCAGCAUAAUUCUUGCCAAAUGCAUGCAAAUAGAAUGCCUAUUUUCUAUGGAGCUGCUCUGGCUUUUUUUCUGUGCUCUCUCUCCAGAUAUCUAGUUUCCUAAUAGCUGCCAGUGCUUGCCCCUAGAGAGCCAUCUGCCUCGUCAGUUUUGCCCUUCUCAGAGACUCCCCUCCUCCAUUCCCACAUCCCAUCCUUUCCACUAACUUGAGCCAACAUUCACUGAUGUCUGCUCUGUGCCCAGCUGCCCACAUCAUGCCAGGUCUUUGGAUACAGAGAGAAUCCAAUUCUCACUUGCAGGAAAAUUUCAACUUAGUGGAAUUUUCUAGAGUUAACUUGAUAAACUUAUCUAAGAUCAAGUGUUACAAAAGACAAAGUCUAAUCAAUAACUCACAUCCUCUAGGCAUUCAUAUUUAACAGGCAUCUAUGAGGCUAAGUAAUGGAAAAACUUUAGCCACUGGGUUAAGGCCAGUGGAUUGUCCUUUUUAUUUUUACUAGUGUGGAGGGUCACUUUCAAACCAAGAAGGUGACUCUACCUCCCUUUGAGAUCCCCUCUAGCAAACAAGAAGAAACACUUUUCUUAGGUAGGCUUAUAUCACACAGACCUGUUAUGUAUGUUAACAUUUAUUUUUUGUAUUUACAGCGCCAAUCUCAGUUUUAUGUACUUGAUUUAUCAUCCCUUCCCAGACAGAGAAUUUAUAGCAAUACCUAUGGCCUGUGUGAGUAAGGCCAAGCUUAUCUGAAUAGGAUUUAUAUUGUAGUCAAGUGUUCCCCUUUUCACAAAGAAGAAAGCAGCUCCUAUUGUGAAAUGCAGGGCUACUGCUGGUUGACCUGCAUGCGCUCUGUCUGGCAGGAUUUCCACAAACCGCAAUAGAGAGCCCAGAGGGGUCCAGGACAGUAUGGAGAAUGUGCUCAAAUCACCUUGGGGAGGGCAGCCCCGGUGGCUCAGCAGUUUGGUGCUGCCUUCGGCCCAGUGCGUGAUUCUGGAGACCUGGGAUCGAGUCCCACGUUGGGUUCCCUGCAUGGAGCCUGCUUCUCUCUCUGCCUGUGUCUCUGCCUCUCCCUCUCUCUCUCUCUCUCUCUCUCUCUCUUUGUCUCUCUCUCUCUGUCUCUCAUGAAUAAAUCUUUAAAAAAAUGACCUUGGGGAGACAGACCUCUAGCCAUCGACCAUGGGCAUGGAGCUGCUGACAGAAGUGUGCCAGUUGCAGUUGCAAACCUUAGAAAAACAAAAUGAUCAAACCAAACCAGUCACCAUAGACAUGACCUGCUUCUCUCAGAUGCACUCUGGCAUAUUCCCAUUUGCUGUGAGUAAAGCAAGAAAAACAAACAGUACCUUAUUCCAUGUGUAACAAUGCUAUACUAUACACUUAAAAAUUAAAAAUUUAAGAGAAUAGAUCUCAUGUUGUCUGUUAACACACACACACACACACACACACACACACACAGACCUCUGUCCUGCUGGACCUCUGUUGUGCUCUCAGCUCGUUGUCACUGGCACACCUUUCACGAGUCCACACCACUGUGGCAGACAGUGUUAGCUUCAAAGGAUAUGUACUCUCCUCUCUUCCUUACUACUAGAAUCCCAGUUUCAUCUGGGGCAAUAAUACGUCCACUUAAAUAUUCCCUCCAGACUCCCUUGCAGCUAGGGGUGGCUCUGUGGCCCAGCUCUGGCCUCUGAUAUAUGAGUAGAAGUUGCCAUCCCAUCCACUUUCUUCCUGGAAUGUGUUUACGCAGUGGCCACAAAGACAAAAGCUACACAUUGAGGAAGAAAACAGCAGGUACUUAGAGCAGCUCACGUCGCUGACAGUGCUGCUGAGUGGCUGAACCUGCUCUGGAUUGUUUUCCCCACGUCUUCCAUGUGAGAUCAAUAAAUCCUUACGUGUUUAGUCUGGAUUUCUGAUACUUGCUGCAGAAAGCAGAUCAUUGACUGGGCCACUUUCCCGAGGCAAUGCUUUCUUUUGGCGUUGUGCUUCUGGGACUUCAAAAGUAAUCAGAACUUUAGGUUUCAACGUUGAUGGUGCACAUACCUAGCAUUCCUGGGAAGUAGCAACUGUUAAAGAUUUCCGCACACCGCAUAUGGGUGUUGAGGGAAAGGGCUUAUUGACCCAUCUUCCAGAAGAGCAAAAAUAGAACGAGGUUGGCAGCUCAUAGCUGCAUAGUACUACAUAGAUUACUGUGCAGGAUAUUUCACAAAACAAUACACCUGACAUUUGUCAAGUCCC